This 13527-nucleotide long non-coding RNA is filed under the name Brassica napus (rape). RNAcentral describes it as "long non-coding RNA (BNAP_LNC010461)". Lineage: Eukaryota; Viridiplantae; Streptophyta; Magnoliopsida; Brassicales; Brassicaceae. The record is from RNAcentral.
CGCUCUUCGCCGCCUCUAUCGCCACCUCCUUCUCCGCCUCAAUCUCCCCUCUCGUCGGCUUCUCCUUCCUCCUCGACGGCCUCAUCGCCCCGAUCUUCGAAGGAUCAAGCAUGAUCGUCUCAGGUGGAAGCUUAUCAAGAAGCAAAUGAACUUCCUUCUCCCUCCUCUGCUUCGACGUCUCAAACGGAUUAGCCACCCAAGAGUCGAAGUUAGGCUCCCCAGACCCUGGAAUGAGGACGCUCGACCAUCCCAUCGAGUGGCCGAUCCCGAGAACAUCCUCAUACGGUCUGAACAUAACCUUCUCCACCUGGUAGCCUUUCACCAUCGGGUGACUCAUGUAUCUACUAUGGCCGCCACCACUCGAGUCUCCCAAAACUUGAACAAACGAUCCGGUUCCAGCCGCUAGCAACCCUUUCUGGCUGAAACUCAGCGUCUUGGCGUGGAAACCGUGGAUGGUCUGAACCUCCUCGAACUUGCGAAGGUCCCAGAUCUUGACUUUGCGCUCUUUACCAGACGUGGCCAUGAGAUGACCGUUCGGAUGAAAGGCAACAGCAGAGACCGGUCCAGGGUGGCACUGCAUUUGGACCAGAGGUGCUUGGCUGGUGGGUUUCCACAUCGUGACGGUUCCACCGGAAUGUCCCAAGGCGACAACGCCGUUGUAGGGAUUCACUUCCAUUACGUCUGUUCUGCCUUUGCCUGUACGGAUGCUAGCCACCAUGUCGCCGUAGGUAACGUCUUGGUAGUGUAGCUGACCGAUUUUGUUUAUUGAUGCGAGGAGGAAAUGGUUCUUUAGGAACCGGAGUCUGGCUACUGGACCACGCUCCUGAAGUUAGGCAAGAACAGGUGUAAGUUUCAUUAUUUGAUCCAUAUAGUUGUAUAUCAACAAAAAAAAGACAGUAAGCCUCACCUUCAGACAAUGGAGCUCAGUUCCAUCUCUCGCGUAAAUAUAAGAAUACCUGUAAGAAAACAAAGAGUCAAAAUAUUAGUCCAAGUACCCUCCAAGACACAAGGAGGCAUAAGGAUAUCCCCUCUCGUCGGCUUCUCCUUCCUCCUCGACGGCCUCAUCGCCCCGAUCUUCGAAGGAUCAAGCAUGAUCGUCUCAGGUGGAAGCUUAUCAAGAAGCAAAUGAACUUCCUUCUCCCUCCUCUGCUUCGACGUCUCAAACGGAUUAGCCACCCAAGAGUCGAAGUUAGGCUCCCCAGACCCUGGAAUGAGGACGCUCGACCAUCCCAUCGAGUGGCCGAUCCCGAGAACAUCCUCAUACGGUCUGAACAUAACCUUCUCCACCUGGUAGCCUUUCACCAUCGGGUGACUCAUGUAUCUACUAUGGCCGCCACCACUCGAGUCUCCCAAAACUUGAACAAACGAUCCGGUUCCAGCCGCUAGCAACCCUUUCUGGCUGAAACUCAGCGUCUUGGCGUGGAAACCGUGGAUGGUCUGAACCUCCUCGAACUUGCGAAGGUCCCAGAUCUUGACUUUGCGCUCUUUACCAGACGUGGCCAUGAGAUGACCGUUCGGAUGAAAGGCAACAGCAGAGACCGGUCCAGGGUGGCACUGCAUUUGGACCAGAGGUGCUUGGCUGGUGGGUUUCCACAUCGUGACGGUUCCACCGGAAUGUCCCAAGGCGACAACGCCGUUGUAGGGAUUCACUUCCAUUACGUCUGUUCUGCCUUUGCCUGUACGGAUGCUAGCCACCAUGUCGCCGUAGGUAACGUCUUGGUAGUGGAGCUGGCCGAUUUUGUUUACUGAUGCGAGGAGGAAAUGGUUUUUUAGGAACCGGAGUCUGGCAACUGGACCACGCUCCUGAAGUUAACCAAGAACAGGCAUAAGUUUCAUUAUUUGAUCCAUAGAGUUUUUAUUCAGUAAAACUCACCUUCAGACAAUGGAGUUCAGUUCCAUCCCUCGCGUAAAUAUAAGAAUACCUGUAAGAAAACAAAGAGUCAAAAUAUUAGUCCAAGUACCCUCCAAGACACAAGGAGGCAUAAGGAUAGAGAAGGUGAUGUUAACUACAUACUUCUUCUGGGCAGCUGCAAAGAACUGGUCAUUGUGCAGGAAGGCAACAUCACGUACUGUUUCUCUUACCUGCAGAUAACAUCAACAACUUCUGUCAAGAACUAAAUCAUAAGCUUACAUAAAGCUAUUCUGAAACUAAAAAAAAAACUCACAUGUAUCUCUUUGAUCAAGUUCAUAUUCAUCAUGUCUACAAGAGCAAGGUGGCCUUUGCGACCACCAGCUAGCAUAUGUCGACCACUUGCAGUAAAAUCAAGUUUGUAAGGACCAAAAUCUACAUAUAUAUUCACCGGUAUCAGUAAAAUAGAUCAGAAACACACAUAACAAAGAGAGUAUAUUGUCACACAGAUUAACCAAACUACAAAUUAUAUAUACAUAACAUGUGAUAGAAGAAGCUAUUGAGCAUUAUACCUGGGAGGACUAUGUCAUAUUGGUUUCUUGAGCUCAAUAAAUCUACUUCUUUGGCUAUAUCCGUCUGCUUGAUCCUCCAAGUCUUCUCUAAACCCUCAGUCUCCAAGUACCCUGCCGAAGCCGGCAAGAGCCACUACAUAAAUAAACACAAACCAGAUAACAAGACAGUAAUUAAUAUUUCGAAACAAAGAAGAGAGGAAUCAAAGUGACUCAAGGAGUAAAACUUACCUUCUCAAUUUUAGCAGCAGCUUUUGCAGACUUGCCAUACAACUUCUCUCGUGAAGCAAGCUGAGUCUUUAGUUUCUUAUCUUUCAAUGACUGCAUAAACAUGAAAAAAAAACACUCAACUUUUACAUUCUCCCAAACCAAAAGCACAAUUAUUAAAAGUAUUAUGUAUAUAUAUACCUCUAAGUUAGCACCUUCUCCUCUAAGAUACUUCUUUUCUUUAGCCUCCAACUCAACAUCGAUCUCCUGCGUACAAAUUUGAAGCAAAGGUUUUAACUUUAUCGAAACCCACAAACAAUAAAGUGUUUUGAGACUCUAAAGGUAGGUAGUUACCUGCUCAUCAGGAGGCAGGACCUUCUCCAUGAGAUUGUUAUCCUCUAAAGCAACCUCCAUCUUGAUACUUGCAAGUACUCCUUAUAACCUAAACCUAAAUUUAGAUUGUUAUGCAUUCCGAUUGAAUCCUGAAUCAGCUACGAGCUAGGAGGAUUGAGACAAACGUAAGAAAAGAUUGAAACUUUAAAUUAGAUUCACCUGAGAUUAGAGAAGGUGGCGAGGAAGCAGAAGAACACACGACGGUGAAGCUUUGAGUUUUAAAGGAGACGGCGUGAAUUAGGGUUUAGCAGAAAAUUGUGUUAAUGGGCGAGAGAGACACUGAGAGCUCCGACAACGAUCCUUUUGCUGACUAGGUUUGAGGGUUUUGUAAUUUUUUAAGGGUUUUAACUUUUAACAAAACAAAAUAAAAAGGAUCCUUUGAGUGAGCCUCGAUAACGCGCGAUUGGGCCUGGUCUGAAUGAAACCUAUUGUAUUUGUAUACAAAACAACUUUCAUAUUUGCUUUUAGCAAAAGAAAAUUAUAUUUUUGUAUAUAAAUAUUUGUGUAUGGAAACAAAUUUUUAUUUUUUAUAUCUUUUUGUAUAGCUUAGCUUUAAUGUUUUGACCCAUUUCUUGAAAGUGAUCCCGUAACGGACCAUCCUGUACUUGGAGCUGUAGGACAUAUUUUGUUUUGUUAUUAUUAUUUAAAAAAAUUUCUUGUAAACUAGCGGCUAGCGCAAAAGAACAUUGGAUUCCAAUUCCGUAAUUUUCAGGAUUAGUCUUGUUUAUUAUCCCUUGUCUAUUAAAAGAAAAAUAUUACAAGUCAUCAUGAAAAUCAAUUUUAAAAUCCUUAGAAAAAUAUGUUGGUUCAUCUAAACAUGUAGUAUAUUUUUCAUUAACCUAAUCAUAUAAUUUAUUAUUCAUAUAAAAAUAUUCUUCGUUGUUUCCUUAAAUAGAACAUACGGAAUUACCUAAUCUGAUCAAAAUAUAUAUAUGAUAAUUAAUAAUUUUUAAAUAAUAAAGAUUUGAUAAUAAUUUAUACACCCUCUGUCAUUUUCGCUUUAUAUUAAUAGUAUUAAAAUAAAUUAUAUAAUAAAAUUAACCAAAUAAUAAAAAUUUCACUUUUUGUAUAUAUGUUAUAUUUUAAAUUUUUAAAAACGAAUAUAAACUAUAAACUUUAAAAAAUCUCACUUUGAAAAUUUGUGAUCAAUGGUUUAAUAUUUAUUUAAAACAAGAUACAAAUGUUCAUAAAUUAUAUGGAUAAGAUGUCUUAUUUAAUAAAUAUUAGAUUAAAUAUAAAUAUAUAUAUAUAUAUCAUUUAAAUUAAAUAAUAUAUUAUAUAAAAUGCAGAAAUAUUUAAAUUUCAUUUUUAUUGAACAGAUACUAAGAAUUUAAUAUUUUAGUUUCAAAAUUUUCAUUGAAUUUGUAAAAAAUGAUUAUAAAUUAAUAAAAAAUAUUAAAAGUUUCAUAUUGAAAUGAUUGUAAAUAACAAUAUAUAAGAUAAAAAUUAUUAUUUAGAUUUAUUUACCAUAAAAUGAUUGUAAAUAACAAUGAUUAUUUUGAUUUAUAUGUCUGCACCAAUUUAAUUAUAUAUGUAAUAACACUACAAGAAAACAUAUUUUUUACUAGGGCAGUAUUCGUUGUAAACUCGUCGUAAACGGGGUGUUACGACGAAUUAACGUCGAAAGACGUUUCGUUGUUAAACGUCCGUCGUAACGGAGGUUUCGUCGUAAACGACUCGUUACGUUUACGACGAAAUAUAUUCCUCGUAAAGCGGAGGGAAAGGAUUCGUCGUAAACGACACGUAAGCUUUCGUCGUAAAGCACACGUAAUUGUUUCGAUGUAAAGCACACGUAAAUACUUUCGUUGUAAAUCACUCGUAAACAUUUCGAUGUAAAAUCCUCGUAAAUAUUUCGAUGUUAAUCACUCGUAAACAUUCGAUGUAAACUCCAUGUAAUGUUUACGAGGAGUUUACAUCGUUUCUUAUUAUAUUAUUAUUAAUUAGUAUAUAAUAGAUUUUAAUUUAUAUUUAAUAUUCAGAAUUUAAAAUAAUUUAAAUUUUAAAACGAAAUAUGAAAUUGGAAAACAUAUUUUAAAAAGUCAUACAAUAAUAUUUAAAUUCAUAAUACAAAAAAAAAAAAAAAACUACAUAUUGUCGAAGUAGUUGGUGGGGUUGCUCGGCUGUUGACGGGUUGGAUCGGACUCUUGGGGAUCUCGUGGUGGCAUUCCAAGAGCGGCUCGUCUCUCACUCAACAUUCUCUGCAUAACCGGGUUUCCCACGGCCAUCACGUCUAGCAAAUCCUCAAGAGAGUCUAAACGAACCUGCUGGCUAUCCAUUCGAGCCUUCAUCUGAGCAGUCUCUUCAUCCCGUCUCGAAGUGUAUGACGAAGUUGCCCUUGCAACUUCGUUAACAGAGCCUAUACCGACUAUCCGUCCCUUCUUUUUAGGAGCCACCUAUAAAAUCAAAACAUAUAUUAAUAUAGUUAAUUAUGUUAAAAUAUUUAAAAUAAUGUAAACAAAAAUUUUAAGUUACCUCUUCGAAGAUUCUGUCGACCUCUUCGGUGGACAAUGUGACUGGUAAUCCAUCGGGAGACUCCUGGGUUAGUUGCGUCUCCCGUUCUUCAAUCCGACCAGCCACUGUUCGGAAGAGUUUCUCAGAUGCAGGAUCCACAAAAACUCCGUCGGAUGUGGCGUGAGUCAUCUUGAAUAGGUCAGACAGAGAAGGUAAGACUCCCGUCUUCUCGAACUACAAAAAAAAAUUAAAUUAAAUAUUAUAAAUUAUAUUAAUUGAAUAUUUUAAAAUAUAUAUUUAAAACAAAACUUACAGCUUCUAGACGGACUCCUGCAUGAGGUUUUUGUCCGGUUCUGUGAAGCAUGGGCAAAUGACCAUCUUUAUCCUUCGUCCUUCGAGAAGCCGAGCACGAAUUGGCCUUUUUGAUCGAAGAGGGGUGCUCCCAAUAGGCGAUGAGGCCAUCCCACACAUCCGUCGUGAGCUCAGUGGGCUUUCCCUCAUACCCGUAGAUCUCCCACUUGUCCUUCCAAUCAGAGACUGUGUUGCAGAGGCGUAUCUUUGCCUUUGCAACGAAUUCCGCCUUCACCCUCUCGGUGAUUCCCAAAGACCAAUGCCACUUUUGCUGAAACAUAAAAAUUUUUAAAAAAUUACAAUUAAUAAUAAAUAUUAAUAUAUAUAUAUAUAUAUUUAAAAGUGAAAAUUUAAUUAAAUUUAAAAAUCUUACCGCAAAACAUUUAAACCACGUGAUCUUAACGUGAUUUGGUGUCUUGCUCCAGUUCGGGUAUGCCCCGUCGUAGUAACCCUUAAUCGUCGCCGAAACGCUCCGGCUAACACGGUUGUUAGCCCCAAACCUAAAAAAAAACAAUUUAACCGUUAGAAAAUAAAAAUUAAUUAAAUUUUAAAGUAAUAAAAAUUAAUAACUUACCAAUAAGUUCCUCGGGGUCUAUCGGGGUCUAGAACAUCCAAACCCUCCCGUCCAGGCUGGGCAAGCAAAUCCUCCACCGUAUAUCUCGCGAAGGGAGCAUAUGAAGGCACACGCAAAUCCGGAUGAACUGCACCUUCUGGGACAGGCUCAGGUGCAGCCGCUGGAGGAGGAGGUGGAGGCAUCUGCGGUGGAAGAGGAGGACUCGAAAAAACUCUCUGAGAAGUCUGAGAGUCUGGAACUGCAUCGGAAGACGAUGGACCGGAAGAAGAUGUACCGGAACCAUCGCCAAACAACUGGGCAUAAGUAGGUGCUGCUGGUUUCCUUCUAGGAGCCAUCUAAAAAAAAAUUAAAUAAAUUUAAUCAAUUAUAACGACAUAAUUAAAAAAUUAUUCUGUUUCCUAACUAAUCACCUAAACUAUAGUAUUCCGUCAUCUAACUAAUCACCUAAACUAAUUAUCUAACUAAUCACCUAAACUAACUUAAAAAAAAAAAAAAGGAGGAAAGAGAGUGUACCUUAGAGGGAGAGGAGAGGAGUUAGGGAGGAAUGAACGAGGAAGCAUCGUCUCGGCGUCUCAAAAUAUAGAAAAGGAUUCGUCGUAAACGCGACGUAAUAUUACGACGAAGUUACCAGGCCCGCGUUUUUUCAUUUACGACGAAGUUACCAGGCCCGCGUUUUUCGGUUUACGACGAAAUUACGUCGAAACGUCGGUUUACGAGAAUUUACCAGGCCCUUGUUUACGACGAAGUUACCAGGCCCGCUUUUUUCCAUUUAUGACGAAGUUACCAGGCCCGCGUUUUUCGAUUUACGACGAAAUUACGUCGAAACGUCGGUUUACGACGAAUUUACCAGGCCCUUGUUUACGAUGAAGUUACGAGGCCCGCAUUUUUCUAUUUACGACGAAAUUACGUGGAAUAGAUACAUUUACGACGAUUUUACAACGGUUAACCCUAAACACCGAGAAUGAAAUCCCUAAACCCCAAAGUCACAUAUCAUCUAACAUCAUAUCUCUUCUCUACUACUUUGUGCUCUUUCUCCAACUUAAACUCUAAAACCCUAAAACUCCAAAUAAUUUUUUAAAAACUAAAGAAAUACAUAUUAUAUAAAACAACAUUUGUUACACAUACAUUAGGAUGGUAAAAAAACAAUAUUUCUUUAAACAUACAUUACAAUAGAGAAAUACAACAUUUGUUACAUAUAUUACAUCACUCUAAAUCGUUUUCGUUCUCAUCAAUAUUACAUCACUCUAAAUCGUUUUCGUUCUCAUCAUUAUCAUUACAAUCAUCAUCGUCGCUUCUCUCGAACUCGUCUUCACGUGCUUCAUCUGUCGCAUCUUCGGGAAUAUCUUCAUAUUGAAAGUUUUGCGGGUCGAUCAAAAGGAUUUCAUCAGUUGGUUGUUCUGGUACCUCAACUUCAUUGAUAGCGUCUUCUUCUUGCAAGGGCGGUUCUUCUCCAGCGACAAUGCGUCCACGAGGUGUAAUUUUGAUAGCAGCUAACCAGUUUAUCCCGGAAGUUCGAAGCCGAGGAUAAGGAAGGAAGCUUACUUGCUCGGCUUGUGAAGCUAAAAUGAAAGGCUCAAAUUUGUUGUAUCUUCUCCCAAAAUUGACAUCCACAACACCAAAUUUGUUAUACCGAAUCCCUCGGUUCACAACAGGAUCGAACCAUUCACAUUUGAAGAGGACGCAUUUUAGCUUCAAUAACCCCGGAAAUUCCACUUCAAUAAUCUCCUGCAAGAUCCCGUAAAAGUCCGUUUCACCUUUCACACAUAUUCCGUAGUUACUCGUUGCCCGAUGUCUCCCAUACUCGUAUGUGUGAAAGGUAAAUCCUCGUGUGAAAUACAUAGGUGAUGUGGUGACCUUUGCAACUGGACCUUGAACCAAUUCGUGAAACCAUACGGGAUAAUAAGGAUCGUCAUAAUCAACCUGCAAAAAGCAGUUAUUCUUAAUUAAUAUUGAAGUAUCAAAACACUUACUUAAUUAAUCAAUGUAUGAGAUAUAUUACGUACCUGUGAUUUUAACCACUUGACAAAGUGCUUAUCUUUACGUGUGUCCACAUCAGUUGCAGAUAUUCCUGGUAUUGCUUCUUCAACUUGAGAUACAAACAUGCUGCAAAUUAAACAAAUAAUCAAGUCAUACAUAAUUAACUGCAAUUCAUAUAAUUAACAUUCACAAAAAUAUUUACCUUUCAAAGUAACGGGUCACUGCAUCCUCGCAGUUGAGCAGAAUAUAAGUGUGGGCACUAUGUUUAUCCUCUUCACAUGACCACCAUACUUCUUUCGUUUUACCACCAAACCGUGCAAUUUCGCAGAAAAUGUCAGGAACACCAUCAAUUGGAUAUGAUGUCGGUACUCCACCAUCAUCAUAUCUUCUAGGAACUCUUUUCCUCGUACGAACAGUUGGAGCAAAGUAGUAUGAUGUGAAGUUAGAUGUUUCGGCUGUCAAACUCCCCGCAACUAUUGAACCUUCCACCUUUGCAAGAUUUCUUGCUUUCCCCUUCAAAUGUUUCAUCUGUCGCUCAUACGGAUACAUCCAUCCGUUGUGAACAGGUCCACGAAGCAAUGCUUCAUACGGUAGGUGGACAACUAGAUGCUCCAUGACGUCAAAAAAUGAAGGAGGAAAUAUCUUCUCCAGGUUGCACAAUAUGAUCGGAAUGUUAUGAUGAAGUUGUUCGAUGACUUCUUCCUUGAACGUACGUGUGCUGAGAUCUCUGAAAAAAGCGCCGAUGGCUGUAUAUUGCAAAAGUAAUCAAAUUAAUAACAUUUCAUAACAUAUGUAUAUAUAUUAACGUUUUAUAAUUACCUGCAAGUGCUUCAUGGACAUUUGCUGGAAGGAGCUCGGCAAAAGCAAAUGGAAGUAGUCGUUGCAUAAACACAUGACAAUCAUGACUCUUCAUUCCGGAGAACUUUUGACCUCGUUCAACACAUCUUGACAGAUUUGAAACAUAACCAUCAGGAAACUUAACUUCUGAUGCAACCCAGUCAAACAAGGUUGUUUUGGCUUCUGAUGACAACCGGAAGAUGGGAACAGGAACGUUUCCAUUGCUCUUGAUAUGUAACUCACUUCUUGAGCAAAUAUCAGGUAAGUCCAUCCUUGACUUUUUGUUAUCUUUUGUCUUCCCAGGGACGUUAAGUAAUGUAUUCAUGAUGUUCUCAAAAAAGUUCUUCUCAAUAUGCAUGACAUCCAGAUUGUGGCGUAAGAGAAGAUCCUUCCAAUAGGGUAGCUCCCAAAAUAUACUCUUCUUAUGCCAAUUGUGAGACACACCAUACCCAUCAGGCAUAUUUCCAGGAACAUGCCAAUUUCCUCCAACUUUAACUGUUUCCUGAGCUCCGUAAUAAUCAAUGUCUGCUUCGAUCUGCUGGCCGGUGAGAUAUGGAGGAGGACCGUCUCUGACAAUUUUUUUGUGCCGAAACAAUGUCUUAUUUCUUCUGUACGGAUGGGCAAGUGGAAGAAAGCGACGAUGACAGUCAAACCAACAACUCUUCCUACCAUUCUUCAGUUGAAAAGCAUCCGUCGAUCCAAGACAAUAUGGACAAGAUAAUCUUCCAUGUGUUGUCCAGCCAGACAACAUCCCAUAAGCAGGGAAAUCACUUAUCGUCCACAGCAGAACUGCUCGCAUCGUAAAAUUGUUUUUCAAGGAACAAUCGUACGUCCUCACCCCUUCUGACCACAAUUGCUUUAGCUCUUCUAUCAACGGUUGAAGAAAAACAUCAAGAGACCGUUUUGGAUGCUUCGGCCCAGGGAUUAAUAUGGUCAAAAAUAGAAAUUCUUGUUCCAUGCACAUAUCCGGCGGUAAAUUGUACGGCGUAAGAAUGACUGGCCACAAAGAAUAUUGUCUACCAGACAUUCCAAAUGGACUAAAUCCAUCGGUGCAUAACCCAAGAUAGACAUUCCGAAUAUUUGUAGCAAAAUCUGCGUGUACCUUGUUGAAAUGUUUCCACGCUCUUGCGUCUGAUGGAUGUGCAACCUCACCAUCUCUCUGGACAUGUUCCGCAUGCCACCUCAUCGAUGCAGCAGUCCUCUCAGAUUGAUAUAAUCUUUUCAAUCUGUCUGUAAUUGGUAGGUACCACAUCCUUUGGUACGGUACCCUAUUCCUCCCACGGCCUUGCGGUUUGAAUCGUGGUUUUUUGCAGAAUCGACACUCUUCUAACUUGUCAUCUUCUUUCCAGUAGAUCAUGCAGUUGUCGAUGCAAACAUCAAUCAUCUCCGAAGGCAACCCAAGACUAUAAACCAAUUUCUGAAUCUCAUAAUAAGAUUCAGCAGACACGUUGUCUUCUGGCAAAUACUCUUUAAACAAAUCCGCCCAUGCAUCCAUGCAAUUCUCAGGUAAAUUAUGAUCCGUUUUAAUAUUCAUCAUCCUAGCUGCUAGAGACAAUUUAGAGAGACCUUCUCUACAACCAGUGUAGAUUGGUUGAUUUGCAGCAUCUAGCAUUUCAUAAAACCUUUUUGCAUCCAAAUUAGGUUCUUCUACAUUUCCAGUUCCAUCAGCUAUUGUUGUAGUUGUUUCUAAAAAUGCAUCACUAAUCAUAUCUUGAACCCUAUCAUGAUCUACCAUCUGCUCAUGAUCUUGAUGAUAAUUAUAUUCAUUAUGCAAAUGAUUCGGUUCUUCACUAUGAUGACCAUCCUCAAAAUUAUUAUUACUACUACUAGCUUCAUUUCCCCCAUAACCCUCUCCAUGUUGAUACCAAAUGUAGUACUGUGGUGUAAAUCCUCUGUUUACUAAAUGCUUCCAUACAGUUUCACUACGUGCAAAUUUUGAAUUCUUGCAUUUCCGACAGGGGCAGAACAUCUUACCGCUUUCCUGUGUGAUCGGUGUACAGCCCGCCUGGUGCAUGAAUGUCUCUAGCCCGCUCAGAAAUGCGUUCGUCACCCUCCCGUCGGAAUCUUUGUGCAAAUACAUUCAACUCCGUAACUCGUAAAUACUACCGCCACCGGCCAUUUUUUUCUUAGAUUUUUUUUUCAAAUCUUUUUUUUUGAUUUUUUUUUCGGAUUUUUUUUUCCGUUUGUGUGUUGUGAGGAAGAGAGUUGUGGGAAAUGACAUAUAUAUAGAGAAAUUUUCGAGUUGGGUAGUUGAAAUAUAACUACGAAUUUAAAAGGAAUAUUUUACAUGGAAUUUACAUCGUUUUAACAUAAUAUUUACAACGACUUUAUGACGAAAUUAGGUAAGUUAAAGCACAUUGAAUACACGUUUUCACCUAAAUAUAACGGUAACAUGUUUCGUUGUAAUGUCGAUGUAAUGAUUACGACGUAUUUCUCAUUCCACGUACAUUCGUCGUAAACUUACAUGGAUUUUACGACGAAAACAAUUCGUCGUAAAUUUACAUGGCGUUUACGACGAAAGUUGGAUUCCUCGUAACUGCGUUGUAAACACCAUGUAAAUUUACGACGAAAUAUUUUCGUCGUAAAUGUUCGUUGUUAUGGGCACGUUUUCUUGUAGUGUAGUCACUGACUACUCAAUAAUUUAAUAUAAAUAGAAAAUGCAAAUAAAUAAUAAUACAUAAAAUUGUAUAUAUAUAUAUACAUAUAUAUAUAUAUAUAACAUUCAUCUCGCGCAAGACGCAUGUCUUAAUCCAGUAAUUUGAUUACAUUUAGAACAUCUCCAAAUUUGAAGAUUCAUCUUUUUAUUUACAUUUUGAUUUUUAUAAUUAAUUACACGUCACAUUUAUGAUUCUUAAGUAUUUUUUCAUUUAUCAUUUAAUCUUUAAAACUUUUUUUAUAUCGUAAUUAUUUCAAAUUUAUUUUUAUAAAUUCAAAUUUUACACAUAAAAUUAAAUGAAAAUUUUAAAAUAAAAUUUAUAAUUUUUUAAAACUAAUUACUUAGAGCAUCUUCGUCCCAACUGCAUAAUUUACUACAAAAUAGAGUGAAAAUGCAGUCAUGAACAAACAAAAAAGCAUUACUCCAUUUAUAGAGUAUUGAUUUUUUUGUUUGUUCAUGAUAGCAUUUUCAACUCCAUUUUGUAGUAAAUUAUGCAGUGGAUUGGAGAUCCACUUAACAACAAGAAUAUGACAAAAAAUUUAAUUUUAAAAACUUUUUAAAAAUACAUAUGAAGACAUAAUUAUUACACAAAAUUAAAUAUUACAACACUAAUAGUCUAUUAAAUUUGCUAUGGAACCUUUAAAAUAUUUUCCAAAAACAAUUUGUGUGAUCAAAGAUGGAGCAUUACGGAAGUAAUCUUAACAAUUCUCAAUCAUGGCCUUUGCGGAUCGGAUCCAUAUAAUUUACAAAAAAAAACUCCAAAUAUUUUAUAUAUUAAUAUGGUAUUUUGCUUGUAGUUUUAUAUUUAGUUAUGUAUUUCUAUAUAUAAUUUUAUAUUUUAGUAUAAUAUUUUAUUAAUUAAUAUUACUGUAAUAUUUUUAUAUAAGUACUAAUUGUUUACAAAAUUUUUAUGGAUUUAUAUUAAUUAUGAUAAAUAUAAAUACCAUAAUGUAAAUUACAAAUAAUUUUGAAGUUAAAUUUGAAGUUUUGCUUCUGGAAAAGAAAACCUCGAAAUUUCAAAUAUAGAGUUUUGCAAACUCUAAAAUAGAAAGUCUUUUUGGAGAUGCUCUUAUAUAGUAUUAUCAAUACUUUCAUAAAUAUAAUGAAUUUACAUCCAAAUAUAAUCGUUUCCUAAUUUUCCUCAAAAUCUAACAUAACCGUUUUAAGAAGUUCCUAUGAAUAGAUUAUGAAAGUAACAAAUCUGAUUUUGAUAAUAAUAAAUAAAUCUGUGACCCGCAUAUGUUACUCGGAUAACCAAGUGGUUUUAGCCGAGUGAUAAAGAGAUUCCAGGUGGAACAUUCGUUUUGGGUUCGAUUUUCUUUGGUCCCUUAUAAAUGUUUUAAAUGACAAAAAAACUCGGAUUUCUAUCUGUAUCUUGGUGAUUAGUGAUUAAGCCUAGAAAGCUUUUGAAAUGACACCAAAAUUAUAUAAAAAGAAAAAGCCAGGACUCGGGCGGCCUAGCUCGUCUAGCAAUGAUAUAACACGUAACAACUAGUAUCAUAAUACAACCUACUUCGAUAACUUUCCUUGGUUAGAUAAUUAAUAGAGUAGAUAUACAUGUCAUUUUUAAGUUGUAUGAUCGAUACAAUCAUACAUCCGUUCAUCUCUAUGAUAGGGAGACAAUUGAAUAUGUUCCCUAAACAUCCAAGGGAGAGCCACCUCU